UACGGGGGGGGCAAGCGUUGUUCGGAAUUACUGGGCGUAAAGGGUUUGUAGGUGGCCGAUUAAGUCAUACGUGAAAUCCCUCAGCUUAACUGGGGAACUGCGUCUGAUACUGGUUGGCUUGAGUGCAGGAGAGGAACGCGGAAUUCCAGGUGUAGCGGUGAAAUGCGUAGAUAUCGAGAGGAACACCGGCGGCGAAGGCGGCCAACUGGACGAUUACUGACGCUGAGACACGAAAGCGUGGGGAGCAAACAGG
RNAcentral lists this ribosomal RNA (253 nucleotides) under uncultured bacterium. RNAcentral describes it as "partial 16S ribosomal RNA". It matches the Rfam family "Bacterial small subunit ribosomal RNA", at positions 524 to 776 of the family's 1533-position model. The record is from RNAcentral.